GAAAACUCCAGAAAGUCAUCACAAUCAAGGCUUCUAUGUUUUGUUGUAACAGCUAUUGCAAAGCUUGCCACAUAUCACCGUGAAUUAUUACCAAGGGCACGUGUAUCCUUGGGCAAGGUAGCUCGAUCUCGAAUAUCAGAUGCGAGGGUCUGGAGGCGAGCUCAUGAUUAUUUGGGAUUAUUGAGUGAACCUGCUAUUUCUUUGUCUGUAUUUGGGCCUUCAAGACCUCCACAUGGACGCAAGCAGAAUCCAGGCACCAUUAACUGGAGUGAAGGAGGCACAAAGAUGAUUGCACAUAUUCCAUUUUACAUUCUUGGUGAACAACAAGGUCCACCUUUCCACAAUUUUUCCUUUUCAGAUGUUUUUCCAAGAAGAUGAUGGCUG
Molecule: unclassified non-coding RNA, 384 nt
Filed under: Hevea brasiliensis (rubber tree)
Lineage: Eukaryota; Viridiplantae; Streptophyta; Magnoliopsida; Malpighiales; Euphorbiaceae
Source: RNAcentral